This 829-nucleotide small RNA is filed under the name Pan troglodytes (chimpanzee). RNAcentral's name for it is "retained intron". Lineage: Eukaryota; Metazoa; Chordata; Mammalia; Primates; Hominidae. The record is from RNAcentral.
AAUUCCUCCCUGGUUCCAUCUGGUGGUCACUGUUGUCUCUUCACAGGAUCAGGAAAAGUCUCAGAAAAGGGUCAGUCUUGCAGUUCUUGGGUCCGAUGAUUCAAAUAUUUUCAUAACCAGCGGCAGUUUGGGGAUGGCAUUUUUCAAAUACUGAAGCUAUUGAAUUCAAGUGUAUUUGGGGCAUUUGAGCCUCAAAAAUAUAACGGUGUAAAUUUUUAAUUUGGGAUUGUAACUUAUUUUGAUUAAAAUCAUUUCUAUAGACUGAGAUAACUUUUUAGUUUUCUGCUACUAUCUGAAUAAACUUGUAACUAAUUGAAAUUUCUGUUUCUUCUCCUUGGUGUAGCUUAUCAACCAGCCCAGCCGUAUCCCUUCGGAACAGGGGGGUCAGCAAUGUAUCGACCUCAGCAGCCUGUUGCUCCUCCUACUUCAAACGCUUACCCUAACACCCCUUACAUAUCUUCUGCUUCUUCCUAUACUGGGCAGUCUCAGCUGUACGCAGCACAGCACCAGGCCUCUUCACCUACCUCCAGCCCUGCUACUUCUUUCCCUCCUCCCCCUUCCUCUGGAGCAUCCUUCCAGCAUGGCGGACCAGGAGCUCCACCAUCAUCUUCAGCUUAUGCACUGCCUCCUGGAACAACAGGUACACUGCCUGCUGCCAGUGAGCUGCCUGCGUCCCAAAGAACAGGUCCUCAGAAUGGUUGGAAUGACCCUCCAGCUUUGAACAGAGUACCCAAAAAGAAGAAGAUGCCUGAAAACUUCAUGCCUCCUGUUCCCAUCACAUCACCAAUCAUGAACCCGUUGGGUGACCCCCAGUCACAAAUGCUGCAGC